UCAAGUGGCCCUAGCAGAAACAUUGAUGAUUCAGGCCACUGGUCAUGUGAGCAUUGUACGUAUGCAAAUAUCAGGUCAGCUACCAUUUGUGCAAUAUGCCAGCAACGUCGAUAAAUUUAAUUUUUCUACCCUGGUCAGCCACCUGGACUGGAAAUAUCAGUUUUGCCACUUUGGAGAAAGUCCAAUUACAUUGAGGAGACACGUUUUAGAGCACUGCGGGGGAGGGAAAGAAUAAAGCUACAUUUGAUUUCUCAGUUGUAUGACCUGAACUGCAAUGAUGGAGAAUUGAAAUGGGGAGGGGGUUGAAAAGGGAAGUGUUUGUCUUGUUUCUGGAGUCGGCUGUAAAUAGUUUGCCAUUUACUGCGAUCUUUAACUUGUAUUGGGUAUCUUAUAUCAGGAUCAUCCAUGCAAAAUAUAUAUAUUCAUCAUCUGUAAUCUUUACGAUCAUUUAU
RNAcentral lists this unclassified non-coding RNA (452 nucleotides) under Hevea brasiliensis (rubber tree). Lineage: Eukaryota; Viridiplantae; Streptophyta; Magnoliopsida; Malpighiales; Euphorbiaceae. The record is from RNAcentral.